AGAUUUCCCAUAGCGUAAGCUAGUAAGACCCCUUGAAGACUACAAGGUUGAUAGGUCAGAGGUGUAAGUAUGGCAACAUAUUUAGCUGACUGAUACUAAUAGGUCGAGGGCUUGACCAAUAA
This 122-nucleotide ribosomal RNA is filed under the name Clostridium botulinum. Its description in RNAcentral is "partial 23S ribosomal RNA". It matches the Rfam family "Bacterial large subunit ribosomal RNA", at positions 2807 to 2925 of the family's 2925-position model. The record is from RNAcentral. Lineage: Bacteria; Bacillati; Bacillota; Clostridia; Eubacteriales; Clostridiaceae.